Molecule: transfer RNA, 72 nt
Filed under: Marmota monax (woodchuck)
Lineage: Eukaryota; Metazoa; Chordata; Mammalia; Rodentia; Sciuridae
Description: tRNA.Val
Rfam family: tRNA
About the family: Transfer RNA (tRNA) molecules are approximately 80 nucleotides in length. Their secondary structure includes four short double-helical elements and three loops (D, anti-codon, and T loops).
Source: RNAcentral
UUUGGACUGUAACUCAGUGGUGAGUACCUGCUUCACAUGCAUGAGGCCUGGGUUCAAUCCCCAGCACCAAAA